GAUUAAGUUAUUAAGGGCGCACGGUGGAUGCCUUGGCACUAGAAGCCGAUGAAGGACGUUACUAACGACGAUAUGCUUUGGGGAGCUGUAAGUAAGCUUUGAUCCAGAGAUUUCCGAAUGGGGAAACCCAGCAUGAGUUAUGUCAUGUUAUCGAUAUGUGAAUACAUAGCAUAUCAGAAGGCACACCCGGAGAACUGAAACAUCUUAGUACCCGGAGGAAGAGAAAGAAAAUUCGAUUCCCUUAGUAGCGGCGAGCGAAACGGGAAGAGCCCAAACCAACAAGCUUGCUUGUUGGGGUUGUAGGACACUCUAUACGGAGUUACAAAGGACGACAUUAGACGAAUCAUCUGGAAAGAUGAAUCAAAGAAGGUAAUAAUCCUGUAGUCGAAAAUGUUGUCUCUCUUGAGUGGAUCCUGAGUACGACGGAGCACGUGAAAUUCCGUCGGAAUCUGGGAGGACCAUCUCCUAAGGCUAAAUACUCUCUAGUGACCGAUAGUGAACCAGUACCGUGAGGGAAAGGUGAAAAGCACCCCGGAAGGGGAGUGAAAUAGAACCUGAAACCGUGUGCUUACAAGUAGUCAGAGCCCGUUAAUGGGUGAUGGCGUGCCUUUUGUAGAAUGAACCGGCGAGUUACGAUUUGAUGCAAGGUUAAGCAGUAAAUGUGGAGCCGUAGCGAAAGCGAGUCUGAAUAGGGCGUUUAGUAUUUGGUCGUAGACCCGAAACCAGGUGAUCUACCCUUGGUCAGGUUGAAGUUCAGGUAACACUGAAUGGAGGACCGAACCGACUUACGUUGAAAAGUGAGCGGAUGAACUGAGGGUAGCGGAGAAAUUCCAAUCGAACCUGGAGAUAGCUGGUUCUCUCCGAAAUAGCUUUAGGGCUAGCCUCAAGUGAUGAUUAUUGGAGGUAGAGCACUGUUUGGACGAGGGGCCCCUCUCGGGUUACCGAAUUCAGACAAACUCCGAAUGCCAAUUAAUUUAACUUGGGAGUCAGAACAUGGGUGAUAAGGUCCGUGUUCGAAAGGGAAACAGCCCAGACCACCAGCUAAGGUCCCAAAAUAUAUGUUAAGUGGAAAAGGAUGUGGCGUUGCCCAGACAACUAGGAUGUUGGCUUAGAAGCAGCCAUCAUUUAAAGAGUGCGUAAUAGCUCACUAGUCGAGUGACACUGCGCCGAAAAUGUACCGGGGCUAAACAUAUUACCGAAGCUGUGGAUUGUCCUUUGGACAAUGGUAGGAGAGCGUUCUAAGGGCGUUGAAGCAUGAUCGUAAGGACAUGUGGAGCGCUUAGAAGUGAGAAUGCCGGUGUGAGUAGCGAAAGACGGGUGAGAAUCCCGUCCACCGAUUGACUAAGGUUUCCAGAGGAAGGCUCGUCCGCUCUGGGUUAGUCGGGUCCUAAGCUGAGGCCGACAGGCGUAGGCGAUGGAUAACAGGUUGAUAUUCCUGUACCACCUAUAAUCGUUUUAAUCGAUGGGGGGACGCAGUAGGAUAGGCGAAGCGUGCGAUUGGAUUGCACGUCUAAGCAGUAAGGCUGAGUAUUAGGCAAAUCCGGUACUCGUUAAGGCUGAGCUGUGAUGGGGAGAAGACAUUGUGUCUUCGAGUCGUUGAUUUCACACUGCCGAGAAAAGCCUCUAGAUAGAAAAUAGGUGCCCGUACCGCAAACCGACACAGGUAGUCAAGAUGAGAAUUCUAAGGUGAGCGAGCGAACUCUCGUUAAGGAACUCGGCAAAAUGACCCCGUAACUUCGGGAGAAGGGGUGCUCUUUA
This 1758-nucleotide ribosomal RNA is filed under the name Staphylococcus aureus. RNAcentral describes it as "partial 23S ribosomal RNA". It matches the Rfam family "Bacterial large subunit ribosomal RNA", at positions 1 to 1757 of the family's 2925-position model. The record is from RNAcentral. Lineage: Bacteria; Bacillati; Bacillota; Bacilli; Caryophanales; Staphylococcaceae.